UUGGCUUCCGGCCUUUUGGCUAGAUCAAGUCUGAUAUCUGUUCUUAUCAGUUUAAUGGUCUGAUACGUCCCUACUGGGGACCAUUAUUAAAUUGAUUUUGGAGAAUGAUGGAUGAAUUUCAAUCGGAUUGACUUAUUGAGUGCUUCCUGGCGGUACUCCCUCUGUAAUCAAGACAGCCACUUGGGGUGAAACUCU
Polypterus senegalus (gray bichir) is the source of this 195-nucleotide small nuclear RNA. RefSeq annotates it as U2 spliceosomal RNA. NCBI's taxonomy places the organism in Eukaryota, Metazoa, Chordata, Cladistia, Polypteriformes, Polypteridae. The record is from RefSeq and is a predicted model, not a curated record. The transcript has a single exon.